Molecule: ribosomal RNA, 450 nt
Filed under: uncultured organism
Description: partial 16S ribosomal RNA
Rfam family: Bacterial small subunit ribosomal RNA
Source: RNAcentral
ACUCCUGCGGGAGGCAGCAGUGGGGAAUAUUGGACAAUGGGCGCAAGCCUGAUCCAGCCAUGCCGCGUGAGUGAUGAAGGCCCUAGGGUUGUAAAGCUCUUUCACCGGUGAAGAUAAUGACGGUAACCGGAGAAGAAGCCCCGGCUAACUUCGUGCCAGCAGCCGCGGUAAUACGAAGGGGGCUAGCGUUGUUCGGAUUUACUGGGCGUAAAGCGCACGUAGGCGGACUAUUAAGUCAGGGGUGAAAUCCCGGGGCUCAACCCCGGAACUGCCUUUGAUACUGGUAGUCUUGAGUUCGAGAGAGGUGAGUGGAAUUCCGAGUGUAGAGGUGAAAUUCGUAGAUAUUCGGAGGAACACCAGUGGCGAAGGCGGCUCACUGGCUCGAUACUGACGCUGAGGUGCGAAAGCGUGGGGAGCAAACAGGAUUAGAUACCCGUGUAGUCCCAUGAU